RNAcentral lists this ribosomal RNA (273 nucleotides) under uncultured prokaryote. RNAcentral describes it as "partial 16S ribosomal RNA". It matches the Rfam family "Bacterial small subunit ribosomal RNA", at positions 524 to 796 of the family's 1533-position model. The record is from RNAcentral.
UACGAAGGGGGCUAGCGUUGCUCGGAAUUACUGGGCGUAAAGGGCGCGUAGGCGGCCCUGCAAGUCAGGCGUGAAAUUCCCGGGCUCAACCUGGGGGCUGCGCUUGAGACUGCGGGGCUAGAGGCCGAGAGAGGGUGGUGGAAUUCCCAGUGUAGAGGUGAAAUUCGUAGAUAUUGGGAAGAACACCGGUGGCGAAGGCGGCCACCUGGCUCGGUACUGACGCUGAGGCGCGACAGCGUGGGGAGCAAACAGGAUUAGAAACCCCCGUAGUCC